This 29-nucleotide non-coding RNA is filed under the name Rattus norvegicus (Norway rat). The record is from RNAcentral. Lineage: Eukaryota; Metazoa; Chordata; Mammalia; Rodentia; Muridae.
UUCAGUCACUGUGCCCACUGAAUGUAGGA